GAUGAAGAACGUAGCGAAAUGCGAUAACUAAUGUGAAUUGAAGAAUUCAGUGAAUCAUCGAGUCUUUGAACGCACAUUGCGCCCCCUGGUAUUCCGGGGGGCAUGCCUGUCCGAGCGUCAUUGCCGCCCUCAAGCACGGCUUGUGUGUUGGGCUCCGUCCCCCCGGGGACGGGCCCGAAAGGCAGCGGCGGCACCGAGUCCGGUCCUCGAGCGUAUGGGGCUUUGUCACCCGCUCUGUAGGCCCGGCCGGCGCCAGCCGACCACCCAUCAUCCUUUUCAGGUUGACCUCGGAUCAGGUAGGGAUACCCGCUGAACUUAAGCAUAUCAAUAAGCGGAGGA
This 339-nucleotide unclassified non-coding RNA is filed under the name soil metagenome. RNAcentral describes it as "partial contains 5.8S ribosomal RNA, internal transcribed spacer 2, and large subunit ribosomal RNA". The stretch from base 1 to 120 matches the Rfam family "5.8S ribosomal RNA", at positions 35 to 154 of the family's 154-position model. The record is from RNAcentral.